GUGAUUUACCUACUCCUAGUCCUAGGCACGAAAGCAGUGUAUUCCAUGGUGCAGUUCAUAGGAUUGAGAGGUAUCAGGAACUUAGCUCCAACUUAUCCUCAUCCGAAGACGAGUUGAUCUUGGCAACCUUGAUCAGGUGGAUGCAGUAAAAUGUGCAAGCAGUAACCAAGCAAGGCUGCUUCUCUCUUCAUGCCGUCCACAGUUGAGCAGGCUCGUGCUAAAUAGUUCAUCAGACUUGUAGCAGAUCCCGCAUUGACAACCAAAAGUGGAUCAAAUCGAUACCGAACGAAGCUCAGUCACCAGCCUUUGGUACUGAUCGUCUCCAUUUGGUAUGAAUUGGCGUCCAAUCUUGCUUCUCGUCUAAAAACUCAACAGAUCAGUGUCGCUGUUACUGAUAAUCAAUGCACACUGUGGCUGUGCGGCCUAUUCGGUUUGGUGGAUUUUCGCGGGAAUUUUGGAGAAAUCGAACUGUUUCCUAUGAAAAUACUGUAAAAUUCUUGCGUUCCUAGGAA
This is a non-coding RNA of Oryza sativa Japonica Group (Japanese rice), 512 nucleotides long. NCBI's taxonomy places the organism in Eukaryota, Viridiplantae, Streptophyta, Magnoliopsida, Poales, Poaceae. The record is from RefSeq and is a predicted model, not a curated record.